CCUCCUUACUAUUACGUCGAUGACGCCCUUGAUGCAGUGCCUACACAGAUUGUUUUGUUUAUUUAUAAAGACUCGCUUCGCGAGUGUCGCGAAUAGCUGCUUAAACGGAAGUAACCUUCCUGACAGCCGUUCUGCUCGCUAAGGUGGUAGUUGUUUUUAAAUAGAAUGCUAAUCAAUAAUCUUAUUAUUGAUUAGUGUUUUUUUAUAAUGCACUAAUGUUCUUUAACAAUUUGGAAAGCUGAUAUUAAUAGUAAUCAAUCAAAAGAGUAAUUGAGAAGUCGAAAGACGUACUUUUUACUCUACUUGACUUGAAUUGCUUGUUAUCCAACAUUGAUUGAUAGCAAGGCAAUUCUUCCGAUUAACUUGUCAUGCAUGCAACAUUACCCUUGUCCGAUUUCAAAAGGCGGACUUGAAGGCCGAAACUCCAAGGCUUUUUUAGGGGUUGUAUGGGUUUAAGUUGACCAAAACCGUUAUACCGGUUGNAAUGCCUUUGGA
RNAcentral lists this unclassified non-coding RNA (495 nucleotides) under uncultured Alteromonadaceae bacterium. RNAcentral's name for it is "partial 16S-23S ribosomal RNA intergenic spacer". Lineage: Bacteria; Pseudomonadati; Pseudomonadota; Gammaproteobacteria; Alteromonadales; Alteromonadaceae. The record is from RNAcentral.